GGCUAUGGCGGAGGGGCCACACCCGUUCCCAUUCCGAACACGGAAGUUAAGCCCUCCAGCGCCGAUGGUACUGCUUGGGCGACCUUGUGGGAGAGUAGGACAGGAUAGCGC
Molecule: ribosomal RNA, 111 nt
Filed under: candidate division TA06 bacterium DG_26
Lineage: Bacteria
Source: RNAcentral